UAGUCCACGCCGUAAACUAUGAUAACUCGGUGCUGGCGAUAUACAGUCAGUGCCCAAGCGAAAGUGGUAAGUCAUCCACCUGGGGAGUACGAUCGCAAGGUUGAAACUCAAAGGAAUUGACGGGGGCCCGCACAAGCGGUGGAGCAUGUGGUUUAAUUCGAUGAUACGCGAGGAACCUUACCUGGGCUUAAAUGUAUAAUGACCGUCUCGGAAACGAGACUUUCUUCGGACAGAAUACAAGGUGCUGCAUGGUUGUCGUCAGCUCGUGCUGUGAGGUGUCGGGUUAAGUCCCAUAACGAGCGCAACCCCUAUUUUCAGUUGCCAGCAUGUAAUGAUGGGGACUCUGGAAAGACUGCCUCCGCAAGGAGUGAGGAAGGCGGGGACGACGUCAGAUCAUCAUGGCCUUUACGCCCAGGGCGACACACGUGCGGCAAUGGUACAUACAGAGGGUCGCGACCCGCGACGGGUGAGCCAAUCUCAGAACGUGUAUCUCAGUUCGG
Molecule: ribosomal RNA, 500 nt
Filed under: uncultured bacterium
Lineage: Bacteria
Description: bacterial SSU rRNA
Rfam family: Bacterial small subunit ribosomal RNA
Source: RNAcentral